Long non-coding RNA from Suricata suricatta (meerkat), 1212 nucleotides. RefSeq lists it as uncharacterized. NCBI's taxonomy places the organism in Eukaryota, Metazoa, Chordata, Mammalia, Carnivora, Herpestidae. The record is from RefSeq and is a predicted model, not a curated record. The transcript has 3 exons.
GUCAUUCAGACGCGGGCCCCCAAUGGGCUGCUUUCCCUUGGUCUUAGGGGCGCCAGUUUCCCCUGGGGUCUCUCCCUGGCCUGGCGCCUCACCUCCUUUCAGCACUGAGUCACACGCCUUUGUCUCCAAAGGAUACAUCCAAUUUCUCCUUCAUUUCUGGAAGAAGAUCUUGCUGGUUGUUGAUCCUAUUUCUCCUUGUGAGAAUGACAGUGAGGGUCCCAGCUCAUGCUGGAGCAGGAAGAGGAGGAUGUCCGGACGACCGAGCUUCCUGAGGCACGUGUAGGGCAAACCUGCGAACACACUGAUUAUACAUAUAAGUGUCAAGGCCCAGGAGAGCCGUCUGCAGGGCGGACCAUGCGGGACCCAGCUGUGACGUCAGAGGUUGGGCACCGCGUGGCGCUGGUCACCGUGAACAGGGGGUUACAGAACCAGCGGCUUCUGGGGGAUGGAGAAGGCGGAGCCUUGCCCCGGGGGCGGAUUCUGUCUCGUGCGGUUCAAGGAAUCCUGGACGCUCGGGCUGCAGCGGGGGGCUCAGCCGGGCUGCACGUAGCAGCGCCCUACCUAGACGGGCUGUAAAAUCACGCCCCCCUGCACGCCAGGUAACUAUUUUGUCAGGGAGUGAAUUCGGGACAUGGAUUUUUGGAAAGUCCCCCCACGUGCCUCCCACGCAGAGACAGGGCUGAGAACUUCUCAUCCGGAGUCUGUCUCUCCAGCCUGCCCAACACGCACUCAGACCCUUCACGUCCCCGCCGUACGCGUUUCCUUGCUGACACGGGCUGGGGCGACUCCCACGCUCUGGGCCUGAACCCGGGCGCAUGCGUGUUGUUUCCGUGCUUGGUGGCCUUCCCGUCUCGGUCCGCCGGGACACGACGUGUACAGCGGAUAUUGUCAGUGUAUUCACUGCCCCUGUGCUCUGCGGUGGCAUAAAUACCCACGAAGUGCUGUUAACCAGCAGCGUUUUCAGUGCAGACACACAGUUCCCAGCACAAGCACGCGUGAUUAAAUCUUGCCCUCGGCCACCCUCAAGAAUGGUCGCACUGUCUCUGUUUUGUUCCCCGACGGGACUUUCCAAUGCCCAGGGCUUGGCUGCUUUCCUUCAGGGCUUGUCAAUCUGUCCACUCAGCCUCUAGCUAAUAGUGAUCUGUUGGCCCCCAAGACCGUGAGGGAACAUUGAGAAAUGAAAUAAAGUCAUCAAGGACUGGCUCUACUUAA